Molecule: long non-coding RNA, 210 nt
Filed under: Homo sapiens (human)
Lineage: Eukaryota; Metazoa; Chordata; Mammalia; Primates; Hominidae
Description: LNC_000271
Source: RNAcentral
CGGCCUCUUCCACCAGGUAUGGCUUCUCUGUGGCCCCUUUCCGGAGCAGGUAGACAUAGCAGUCUGUGAGCAGCACGUACAGCAGCUGCAGGUUGCCCUCCAUGUGCCCGGUGCUCAUCCGGAUCAUUUUGAACAGCUGCUCUUCGUUUUCUCGGAACACGUGGAUCAUGAGCAGGAGCAGGUGAUUGUUGUCUACUCUGAACUCCGAGG